Long non-coding RNA from Phragmites australis (common reed), 1289 nucleotides. RefSeq lists it as uncharacterized. NCBI's taxonomy places the organism in Eukaryota, Viridiplantae, Streptophyta, Magnoliopsida, Poales, Poaceae. The record is from RefSeq and is a predicted model, not a curated record. The transcript has 2 exons.
UAUGGCUGCAUGAGAGUAUCCAGGUAUUAUCAGAAAUUUGAUGCCACAAAUUCCCAAUAGAUAAAUCAAUGCUUCGUAUAUUAUUGUACUCAUAAAAUAGAAAAGGUAACCGUUUGAGGCUUAAAGGUAAUAUAUGGGGAUUAUAAUCUGAAUCAGACUAAAUGCUGCCACUACAUAUAGUUAUAGAUUUUCAAUGGUUCUUGACUUAUAUUUUUAUUAAAAAAAUCGUUCUUGACUUAUUAUCUAGUAAAUUGUAAGAAAUCGGCAGGGUAUCAUAUUUGAUAGUGCUUGUAAAAUUUAGAAUUAAUUAAAAUACACAUGAUCAAAUGUAAGGCACUGAUGUCCCUUGCUCAGUUAAUCGGUGUCUUAGUGCCAAGGGUUUUUCUGGAAUAGACUACAGAUAUGUUCUACUGAUGCCUACUAAAAAAUUGGUCAUCUAAACAGCUCACAGACAAUGACAUAUCAAUUAAUCAUGCCUUUAGACCGGGCUCCUCGUUUUGUAGUUAAUGGCCUCCUUUCGCCAUCAACAUCAAAGACAAAGAUGUGCAACCAGCUUGGUAACGAAAAAAUGCGAUCAGUUCCAUGGUGGACUGCACCCAGGAGUUGCAGGCAAAGUGCACCGGCCCGCAUGGCAGCCCGCCCUCAACAACGAUGCUCUCCAGGAAGAACUCCCGGUGGUGCCGGUUGGCCACAGUGAUCGCGCCCGGCUCGCCAAAAUCUGAAUCCACCAUGAACUCUGCGGUGUACACGACGUGGUCUCCCUUGACACCUCUCUUCCGGCACCAGUCCCUGAUCGAUGCCUGGCCGCUCUGCAUUGGCUUCUUCGUCCCUGUCAAUGAUUCACGUCGCACGAGCAGGAAAAGUUAGAACAAUCUUAGGAGAAGUCAAAUAAGGAGACAUGGAAAGCGACUGCAAAAGCUUUGGCGAUCGCAUGGUGCGAAUGGAGAGACGGGGCAAACAUGUUUGUUGCAGUACUGAUCCAUUUUGAGCUUGAAAUAUUCCGCAGUGAUUAGGACUACUGCUAAAGGGAGGCUGCAGUGCUCUGAAGAUUCUGGUGGAUGGAUGACGGUUUGGAUUUUAAAAAUAUAGGAAGUUCUGUUAAAAGUCUGCUCCAAUUCUUUCCUUUUCUUCUUGCAAAAUGUUAGAAUUUACAGUCUUGUGAAAGAUUCCGGUGGUUAAAAAGUUAAAGCAGCUCCAAUUGUUUAGUUCUUCUUCCUUUUUUUUUGGGAUAAAAAAAUGUUAUUGGAAAAUGAAGUGCGAACAAUGGAAUAAACAAAUGCAGAGAAAAC